CUUUUGGGUUCUAGAAGCUGUGCCGGGUGCAGGGCUAGUCUGGAGGUGGAGGGAGGAAGUGCCCAGGAGGGCGAUGACAUCACCACCCAGCCCUUGAAAGAUGAGCUGUUUCCCCAGCGACUCCAGCUUGCUCCAGCGCCCGGGAGGGGUGGGGACAUCAGGCCGCCCGACCGAACUGAGGGAAGGACUGAGGUGCCAGUGUGGCCCACUCCAAACAAGCCCGGGCAGGGCCUCACUCACGUCCAACUCUGAGUUCAAAUGUUCUCUGCCUGGAAGAGACCAAUGUUCCUGUCUGUUCAUGAGGACCCUGUGCCCACCACAGCCUCUUUCAGGUCACUGUGGAUGGCAUCCCGGACCCUCCUGGAGUUCCAGUCCUCCAACCAGAGCCAGCUCUUGCCUCUAAAUGCCACAGCCUGUGACAAUGCUGAGCAAGGCUGGGAUCUGCUGCAGAGAGUGUUACCGACAUUUAUCAUCACCAUCUGCAUCUUUGGCCUGGUGGGAAACCUUUUUGUGCUGUCCAUCUUCCUCCUGCCCCGGCGGCGUCUGAAUGUGGCAGAAAUCUACCUGGCCAACCUGGCGGCCUCUGAUCUGGUGUUUGUCUUGGGCUUGCCCUUCUGGGCAGAGAACAUCUGGAGCCAGUUCAACUGGCCUUUUGGAGCCCUCCUCUGCCGCGUCAUCAAUGGGGUCAUCAAGGCCAAUUUAUUCAUCAGCAUCUACCUGGUGGUGGCCAUCAGCCAGGACCGCUACUACGUGCUGGUUCACCCCCUGGCCAGCCGGAGGCGGAGGCGACGGCGGCAGGCGCAGGCCACCUGCGUACUCAUCUGGGUCAUGGGGGGCCUCCUGAGCAUCCCCACGUUCCUGCUUCGUUCCAUCAAAGCUGUCCCGGAACUGAACAUCUUUGCCUGUGUGCUGCAGCUCCCGCAUGAGGCCUGGCACUUUGCAAGGAUGGUGGAGUUAAAUGUUUUGGGUUUCCUCCUCCCACUGGCUGCAAUUAUCUUCUUCAACUAUCACAUCCUAACCUCCCUGCGGGGCCGGGUGGAGGUCAGCAGAACGGGGCACAGGGGCCCCCCGGACAGCAAGACCACAGCGCUCAUCCUCACGCUCGUGGCUGCCUUCCUGGUCUGCUGGGCGCCCUACCACAUCUUUGCCUUCCUGGAGUUCCUGCUGCAGGUGCAGGCUUUCCAAAGUUGCUUCUGGGAAAAUUUCACAGACCUGGGCCUGCAGUGGGCCAACUUCUUUGCUUUUAUCAACAGCUGCCUGAACCCUGUCAUUUACGUCUUUGUGGGCCGGCUCUUCAGGACCAAGCCCCUGCAUUCAAGUUGUGGCUUAUAAAAAAUCCUUUCUAGAGGUUGCGAAAACAAUGCCACAUUCUAGACAAGUGCGCUGGCCUGAGAAAUUGGAACCUGGUCAGAGGCCUGGAGCUCAGCAGUGGAUUGUCAACACGGCCUCUGAUAAGCCAGACACCUGAUUUAUGGGGCGCCCUUAACAUUUACCAAAGCACCGUGAACAGCCGGCGGGGGGAGAGAGACACUGGGAAUCCCCACGGUCUUGGCCGGGCUUACGCAUGCAUCUGUGAUCAGCAGCUGGUCACCUGGCAGCUCCACUUCAGGAGGUAGACCUUGGGAUGCAACAGAUGCAAGGCCAAUCUCAGAUGGAGUUAAAAACCACCAAUGGAUUAGGCAUAAUGGUGGUACGCCAGGACCCAGCUCAAACUGGCCUCUCCAAACUAAGGCAAAACCAGCGUGAGAUCUAGAUCAGGUGCCUGCUCUUCUACUCUGGCUAGCCCCCUGGCCUGUAAAGUGGCUCCCUAGAAAAUGUUUCCUGGAGACACCUUGUCUCUUGAAUGAUGGCUUUGCCCAGUGUCGGUGGAGGUGGUGGGAGGGGCGGGGAAUCCUUCCCACUCUUCCGCGAGAGGCACAGCUGCUGCUCAGUGACAGCUCUGGUUGUCCCGUGUUCUAGGAAAUGAGGGAUUGGACUUCUCCCACUGCUGAGGCUAAGGGUGGCCUUCUCACCCCUUUGGCCAGUGUGAGGGGACUUGAGUGUCACUUCUAGGUAGAAGCAUUUAAGGGCACAGUCCUCCACGCUCUCUUUCCUCUGCUGUAUCGAACUCUGAAGGCAUGUCUCAUGAUGGUGGUGUCUUUAAGAUGUGGGGAUCCCAUCAGCCUGGAGCCCUGAGUGACUAGAAGGGCAGAGCCCCCUAUAAACCUGCAUUAAGCAUGCAGUGUGGAUGAGAAAUGAACCUUGGUUGGCUUAGGUCACAGAAAGUGGAGGAUGUUUGUUACAGCAGCGGAACCCAGGCCAUCCUGACUGAUAAACCAGCUUCCAGUGAGGAGGGAUUGCUGCCUAUGCUCUGGGGCUCCUGCCCACCCCUUACUCCUCUCUAUGGAAGAAAAGAGCGCUGACCGGCCAGUUUCAAAACAAGAAACUGGUAGAGCUGACUACCUUCCGCCUUCUCUCUCUUUGGAAAGACUCGGUGGACUCUGAUCUUCCCUUGGCCGUGAAUAAGCUUGGUGAUAGAGGCUCUGCCCCAGUGGGAAAAAGCGUCAGUAUUGCCUGGGCCUGCAUGGGUUAGCUGGCCUGACUCUGGGGUUCAGAACUGAGAAGCCCAUUGUUGCCACACGCCUACGUGACAUCAUCCAACGGAACGUUUCCCAGCAGCUCCCAUCUGCUGACUCCUGUCCGCUUCACUUAGGUCCAAACUCAUGCAGGAAAAUAAGGAUUUUCCUAAUCUAUUUUGCCUAAUCCUUUCUCUAAGCGACUCAAAUUCCAAACAUCUGUCACUCCUGAGACAAAAAUGUGGAAGCUCAACGGUGAAAUGCAAAUCUGACUCCUGAGAAUUUUCACAAAAGCCUUAGUAACAUCAUAAGUUUUUAUUUGGGGUUUCUUGGCCUGAUGGACAUUUGGAGAUACACAGUUCUCUGUGGUGGGGGAGUCCUGGGCCUGGUGUGAUGUGCAGCAGCCUCUUAGGCCUCAACCGCCAAUGCCAGAAGCAACCACUCUCCCCCAAAGUGACAACCAAACCGUCCAGAGAUAUUACCAAAUGUUCUCUGGGAGCAAAAUCCCCACCCCCCAUUUGAGCUGACCUGAUCCAGUUGUUGUCAACAAUGACCUCAAGGAAAGCCUGGUGGUCUGGGGAGACUUCCUGGAGGUGGUGGGAUGUCACUCUGGAAGGACUGAACCGAACAAAGGCACGGGGAGCAGCCACGGCAGUGGGAAAGCAUGAGCACGGGGAGGCUUGGAGGCAGGCACACCCAGAGAUGGCAGCAGGGCAGGCGGACCAACGGAUGUCAGCCGGGAUGAUCAAAGAGCUGAACAUGUAACAUCACUCACGACCGUCCCUGGCAUCCUUGCUCAUACAAUGAAUGUCUGCUGGCAUCAUCACAGCAGCCUCUCCUCAAGACCAAACGGUGACGUCAGUUUAUAGCAAUUCUCCAUUGUUGAUUCUGGCAUCACCUCCUGGUGUUUAACCAAAAAUAUCUCCAGCAAGGCCUGGUGGCUUCUCUCAAUGGUGUUUUCCCUUCCGUCAACCUUGUGAUGUCGGGUGGGGGGCAGGGCGAGAGUGGGAGCAGGUGAGUAAAAGAAGGAAGAAUGAGAUUCAGUCAUAAUGAACGAAAG
Molecule: RNA transcript, 3615 nt
Organism: Manis javanica (Malayan pangolin)
Lineage: Eukaryota; Metazoa; Chordata; Mammalia; Pholidota; Manidae
Gene name: B2 bradykinin receptor
Source: RefSeq, a predicted model, not a curated record